This 74-nucleotide transfer RNA is filed under the name Hordeum vulgare. Its description in RNAcentral is "tRNA-OTHER". The record is from RNAcentral. Lineage: Eukaryota; Viridiplantae; Streptophyta; Magnoliopsida; Poales; Poaceae.
AGAUGCCUAGCCGAGUUGGUUAUCUCGGCAGUUUUGCACCUGCGAGAUCCUGGGUUCGAGUCCCAGGCAAUCCA